Contarinia nasturtii (swede midge) is the source of this 2213-nucleotide long non-coding RNA. RefSeq lists it as uncharacterized. The record is from RefSeq and is a predicted model, not a curated record. The transcript is spliced from 7 exons. Lineage: Eukaryota; Metazoa; Arthropoda; Insecta; Diptera; Cecidomyiidae.
AAGAACACAUUGUUUACAAUACACGGUCACGGUCGUAAUAUUAAGUUUUAUACAAAAACAGUGUGAAGUAAGAGUAUGAGUGUCUCAAUAAUCUUCCAUAGAUGACAUACGGCAAACUCAGUGUGUGUAUGUAGCGGUAUGUAGCAUGAAAGCCGUAAAUAUGUGUAUCUAAGUGCGACGCAUUAAUAUUAGAAAUGAAACACAACAGCUGGGUUUAUUUAGUCAGCUGUAGUCCAACGAAAUUAUCCGAUUUCAAUGUCCUGUUUUAUUUGUUUGAGCGACGUCUGGAACUGGAAAAGAAUACCCAAUACGAAUUGAAUAUGUAGAAAAAAAGCCAAAAUGGGAAAUUCGAAGAAAUGACACAGCUGUCAUCAAUAUAAAACCGUUUCGACUCAUGGUCACCAUACCAGUUUUUCCACGCGGAAUUCUUCGGUAAACGAGAAUAAGGGAGAGUCUGUCACAAGUUUUGAAUAAAGGGAACUCACCAUUGACUUGAUUACAAGCCUAGAUGGGUGUAGGUUAUUUAGUAUUACAUUGAAGGUGCUAUGAGUGCAUGAAUCCUGCCCCGUGAUCGACGUGAGCUGUCAUUGAACAAUACAUUAUGUCAAAGUGUAACACGUGCAUAGGCUAACCUUUUUAUUCAUUCAUCAUUGAUAGAACAUUAAUUCUUUUAAGACGCUUCGGAUCAUUUUUUAUUUCAAAUAAAAAAUGAUCCGAAGUGUCUUAAAAGAAAUUUUGCGACCAAUUCAAUUGAUUUCGUCAUCGCAUUUGCUGUUCGUAUAAAAAUCAAACGAUUGCUCUAAGGCUGGUCGAAGAGAAAAAGAUGCCACCACUAGAAAACUUAACCAAAGCUGAUUAUGAAGAAAUGUUGGAGAUGUCAAACAAUCGACGACAAAAGUAUUAUGUUUAUUUGCAUUCAUCAACAAUGGGCACUUCGAAUGACGAGAAGCGUAUGAUAGCGGCGAGUAUCUGUGAUACAAAAAAAACAGCUGGGCACACUUGGUCAGCCGAAAACUGAUCAUAUUCGAUGUGGCCUAGGACAUAAUACACAAUUUUUGAGAAUAACAAAUAAACAAAUCAACAAAGGAAGAAAUUUCAAGUUGUGGCCACACUGUGGCGUGCAAUGAGACUAAAUGAACCAGCUCUAAUAUUGGGCUGUGGUUUCAAUGACAGAAUGACGAACCAGGAAAUUCGAGAUUUAGCGCGUCAAAUUAAAUAUUCCUUCAGUAAAAAUCGAUUUGAUCGUAAACCAUUUGUGUAACAUAAUUAAGUACAAACGGUUUACGAUCAAGUCGAUUUCACAGAUAAGGAAUACGAUAGCAACAAUUGCGUUUGAUGAAAAGAAGCAACUGAGGACAUUUGGUCCACCGAAAACUGAUCAUAUUCGAUAUGGCCUAGGACAUAAUACACAAUUUUUGAGAAUAACAAAUAAACAAAUCAACAAAUGGAGAAAUUUCAAAUUAUGGCGUGCAAUGAGACUAAAUGAACCAGCUCUUAUAUUGUGGUUUCGAUGACAGAAUUUCGAACCACGAAUUUCGAGAUUUGGCGCGUCAAAUUAAAUAUUCCUUCAGUAAAAAUCGAUUUGAUCGUAAACCAUUUGUACUUAAUUUGUGUAAUAUAAUCAAGUACAAACGGUUUACGAUCAAGUCGAUUUCACAGAUAAGGAAUACGAUAGCAACGAGUGCGUUUGAUGAAAAGAAGCAACUGAGAACAUUUGGUUCACCGAAAACCGAUCAUAUUCGAUAUGGCCAAGGACAUAAUACACAAUUUUUGAAAAUAAGAAGAGAAACAAUGACUAAAUGGAGAAAUUUGAAGUAUGGCCCUUACCAUUGGCAUAUUGGAGCUAAAAUAAUCUUUUUAUUUUGGAAUUGAAAAUCAAAAACGUAUAUCUUAUGAGUCGGUAUGAGUCGGUAUUUUAUUUGAAAUUUUUUUUGAUUUAUGCCUGAUGGUCGUUUGUGGUUUUCAAUUUCCAAAAAAUACAUCCACUGUUGAAAGACAUAAAAAUAACUUAAUUAUUUUCAUUAUUUCCAUAGGGUGUGGCCGCCACACUGUGGCGUGCAAUGAGACUAAAUGAACCACUCCAAUAUUGAACUGUGGUUUCAAUGACAGAAUGACGAACCAAAAAAAUUCGAGAUCUAGCGCGUCAAAUUAAAUAUUCCUUCAGUGAAAAUCGAUUAGAUCAUAAACCAUUUGUACUGAAUUUGUGUACCAUG